GUGGAGUCAAAUUUAGUGGGCAUCAUAGCUCUGGAAUGGCUAUCCACAGGUCUGCCUUCUAAACUCACCUCUGCCAUUAAUGGUUUGUGGGAGGAAAAUACAGAAUUGAUGGAAGACAGCUGAAAACAGUCAGCAGCGGAAAGUCCAGCACUACCAGCAUCUGAUCUUAAUCAUAAUAUAUCCUCUGUCUGGUUUGUCAAAAUCUAUCACUCAAGAACACCUUCAAUGGACAGUAAUUUGAGGUGUGGCUUAUUAGAUCACACGAUCUUAUGAAUAAUAAAAAGUUAUGGAAAAUUGCA
Non-coding RNA from Microcebus murinus (gray mouse lemur), 299 nucleotides. NCBI's taxonomy places the organism in Eukaryota, Metazoa, Chordata, Mammalia, Primates, Cheirogaleidae. The record is from RefSeq and is a predicted model, not a curated record.